AUUGAACGCUGGCGGCAUGCCUUACACAUGCAAGUCGAACGGUAACGCGGGGCAACCUGGCGACGAGUGGCGAACGGGUGAGUAAUGCAUCGGAACGUGCCCAGUAGUGGGGGAUAGCCCGGCGAAAGCCGGAUUAAUACCGCAUACGACCUACGGGUGAAAGCGGGGGACCGUAAGGCCUCGCGCUAUUGGAGCGGCCGAUGUCAGAUUAGGUAGUUGGUGGGGUAAAGGCCUACCAAGCCUUCGAUCUGUAGCUGGUCUGAGAGGACGACCAGCCACACUGGGACUGAGACACGGCCCAGACUCCUACGGGAGGCAGCAGUGGGGAAUAUUGCGCAAUGGGGGAAACCCUGACGCAGCCACGCCGCGUGGGUGAUGAAGGCCUUCGGGUUGUAAGACCGUCGUCGGGGGGACGGAAGUACUGACGGUACCCGUCCAACGAAAGACACCGGCUAACUCCGUGCCAGCAGCCGCGGUAAA
RNAcentral lists this ribosomal RNA (480 nucleotides) under uncultured bacterium. RNAcentral's name for it is "bacterial SSU rRNA". It matches the Rfam family "Bacterial small subunit ribosomal RNA", at positions 29 to 524 of the family's 1533-position model. The record is from RNAcentral.